CGUCGAUACGUUCCGGGCCUUGUACACACCGCCCGUCAAGCCAUGGAAGCUGGGGGUGCCUGAAGUGCGUAACCGCAAGGAGCGUCCUAGGGUAAAACCGGUAACUGGGGCU
Molecule: ribosomal RNA, 112 nt
Filed under: uncultured bacterium
Lineage: Bacteria
Description: partial 16S ribosomal RNA
Rfam family: Bacterial small subunit ribosomal RNA
Source: RNAcentral